Molecule: long non-coding RNA, 129 nt
Organism: Etheostoma spectabile (orangethroat darter)
Lineage: Eukaryota; Metazoa; Chordata; Actinopteri; Perciformes; Percidae
Exons: 3
Source: RefSeq, a predicted model, not a curated record
GACCCAAAUGCAGACAGAACACAGAGCAAGACGUGUCAAUUAACAGGUUUAUUUAAAGUACUCAAGUAUCAAGUCGAGGUUUCCAAAAGGGGAAAAGCAAUUCCAGGUUUCCAGGAUGGAGGACGGGGG